UUCCGUAGGUGAACCUGCGGAAGGAUCAUUACCGAGUGCGGGUCCUUUGGGCCCAACCUCCCAUCCGUGUCUAUUGUACCCUGUUGCUUCGGCGGGCCCGCCGCUUGUCGGCCGCCGGGGGGGCGCCUCUGCCCCCCGGGCCCGUGCCCGCCGGAGACCCCAACACGAACACUGUCUGAAAGCGUGCAGUCUGAGUUGAUUGAAUGCAAUCAGUUAAAACUUUCAACAAUGGAUCUCUUGGUUCCGGCAUCGAUGAAGAACGCAGCGAAAUGCGAUAACUAAUGUGAAUUGCAGAAUUCAGUGAAUCAUCGAGUCUUUGAACGCACAUUGCGCCCCCUGGUAUUCCGGGGGGCAUGCCUGUCCGAGCGUCAUUGCUGCCCUCAAGCCCGGCUUGUGUGUUGGGUCGCCGUCCCCCUCUCCGGGGGGACGGGCCCGAAAGGCAGCGGCGGCACCGCGUCCGAUCCUCGAGCGUAUGGGGCUUUGUCACAUGCUCUGUAGGAUUGGCCGGCGCCUGCCGACGUUUUCCAACCAUUCUUUCCAGGUUGACCUCGGAUCAGGUAGGGAUACCCGCUGAACUUAAGCAUAUCAAUAAGCGGAGGA
RNAcentral lists this small RNA (600 nucleotides) under Aspergillus niger. Its description in RNAcentral is "eukaryotic LSU rRNA". The stretch from base 218 to 371 matches the Rfam family "5.8S ribosomal RNA". The record is from RNAcentral. Lineage: Eukaryota; Fungi; Ascomycota; Eurotiomycetes; Eurotiales; Aspergillaceae.